UAAAAGUCGUUUAAUUUUAAUGAACUAUUUUACUUCUUGUGUGCAUUCUCAUAAUUUAGGGUAUGGUUGGAAGAACCAAUAAAAUUAAAUAUCAUGGGCCUAUGUGAGCAUUGGUUUUGAAUUAAAACAAUGUAAGGACCUGUUUGGAUGGAGUGGAGUUGACUACUAUAUCCCACUCCUUGUUUGGGUCUAGAGUUGUGUUUAAUUGGGGAUUAGAGUUAAGGUUAGAAAUAACCUCCAAACAACGCACUGUGCUUCACUCCUUCGUUUUUCUAUAGUGGUACUAUUUUGUUCUCUCGUGUCCACACCUCUGUCUCACCCUCCCUUGUCCUUCACUUCCACUAUGAUGGUCUCCUCUUACACAAAAUCACACUUUUCGUCUGCUCACGUCUUCCCUCUUUCCUUCAUGUCUUCGAUUCCAGUUGUCGAUUUUUCUUAUAGAUUUCAAAGCACAAAUUUCAAGAUUUGUUACCAUUCUCCUAUUGCAUGUUCGAUUUCUUUGGGAUUUUAGGGUUGAUCUUUGAAAUAAUGGUUUUUGUACAAUACGCUUCUCAAACCCUAAUAAAAAUAUUUUGUUCGCUCACGUCUUCCCUCUUUCUUUCGCCUCUUCCGAUUUCCUUACCACUCCAAUCGAAACCCCAACUCGUACCACUCAUUCUUCCCUUUUUCACUCAAUUCAAUUUCAUUAUUCUUCUAACCCUUCGCAGAUCUAUAGUUCCACAUGGUUGCACAGUUGGUAGACAUUUUCAUUUGGAGUGUGGUCAGGGCUGAAGGAUCUGAGCAUGGUAAGGAGGAAGAGGUCAUAGGUAAAUUUCUCAACUUUGUGUCCUCGAUGAUGCAAUCCCAAAUUCUUUUUUCAACUUUAGGAUUUAUAUUUCAAGUACUGUACGAUUUAUAUCUUGUUGAUUUUAGAUCCGUGAAUCUUUGGAGGUCAAUAUCUUUGAUUUUGUUCCCAACCUUUUGUAUUUCAAUAUCUAUGAUUAUUUUCAAUAUAUACGUCUUUGUUCUCAACUCUUUGUAUUUCAAUAUCUAUGUUUUUUUAACCUUUGGGUUGUGUUUGGUUUAUAAUUCACAUAUUUUGUAUUCCUAUCUCACUUAGGAGUCUUUAAUUUCUACUUUGACAAUAUCACGAACCUUUGGAUAGCGUUUGGUUUAUAGUUCACAUGUUUUGUAUUCCUAUCUCAUUGAGUGGUCUUUGAUUUUGUACUUUGACAAUAUCAUGAACCUUCUGGCAGUGUUUGGUUUAUAUAAUUCACAUAUUUUUUAUUUGUAUCUCAUUGGGUAAUCUUUGAUUUUCAAUUCCUACACUCUAUAGGAUAAUUUCUUUUGUCGCUUCUAACGUUUUAUUUCCUUGCUACAUCAAAUUCUCUCACCCUAUUGGUUCAACCUAAUUGAUUUAGUUAAGGGAUGAUUGUGCUUGGUGGGGAUAGAGAGUUGUGUUUGGAGAGUGGUAGGGGUGAAGUGGCAUUGUGGGUCUUGGUGGGAAUCAAAGAUAAGCUUUCUUUUCCCUUACCCAACCAAUGAUGAAGUUUUAACUCUGAAACAAAAAUAGUUAGCUUCUAAUUUACUUAUCUGUUUAGAGUUUAGUUUUAAAACGUUGUUGUCUUCUUUGUUUCUUUGUUCCCUACCCAUCCCUACCAUAUUUUUAGUAUUCAUCACUAUUAAUCAUUGUCAUAUCCCUUGUUCUUUUUGUUUUUUUGGAUAUUUUGCUUAUGUACUAUAUUAUUGUGAUUCUGCCAUAUCUUUGCCCUAUCUCGUACCCCUCUUUCUAGGAAACUUUAGUCCAAGCACAUAUUUUGAUUGUGUACCUAUUUUGAUUCUACCAUAUCCAAAAUAUUUUCUUUCACUUUAUCUCUUAUACCUUCUUUAUAUGAAACUUUAUGGCAUAUUCUAGGGAAUACUUGGUAGGUAUUGGUUGUUGUUGGAAUUCUUUCCUUUUUUUCUAGGCUUUUUCCUUGUUAGAAUCCUAGAAUAAUUAUGGAAAGAUUAUGGGAAUGUAUUCCUUAUUUUCCUAAAUCUUUUCCCUUUUUAUUCCAUUGUGUACUCUAUUUAUUCUCCCUUGUACCUAUUGCUUUAUUCAUUAGAAAAUAAUAACAACACAAACAAUCGUGGUUUUUCUCCCGGUACUUGGGUUUCCACGUAAAUUGGUGUGAACUCGUUGUCUCUCUUUUCAAUAUGGUAUCAGAGCGGGACAAUGAAAACACCCUAGAAACCCAAAAAAACCAAACCACUUAUGAAAAUCAAACAGAAGGGACAACCAUCAAUUUUAGUGCUACCGUAGCUGCUGCCAUUGAUGCUCGGAUGCGUGCUGCCAUGGACGAAUUAUUAAGCCGCUACAGAAAACGUCCAAAAAUAAUUUUUCGUCAUUACCGCAGUCGUCCGCGCCGUCACCGACGACCCACCACGCGCCUCGUAGACCACCACGCGCCUGGUUUUCUUCCUCAGAUGGCGCCGACCAUCCCAUCUGUCCAACCCUUUUCUUCGUCCGCGGCCUAUAUUGCUCCCCACGCCCCGAUUUAUGUUCUGCCAUCUAAUUCCAAUCGGCUACCACUGCUUCUGCCGUCAAAUCUGUAUGGCCAGCCACCCAAUGAUCCUAGCUACCAUCCCGAUGUUAAAAACUCUCAAAUUCACUCAACAUUUGAGGUUGGUGAAUCUUCGGCAUAUUCCAACCGUAACGUGCAAGCUUCCUCGGGAAUAGUUCAUCAACAAUUGGAAGGGCUUCGACAACAGAUAGCAGCACUUGAGGCUACCUUAGGGACGACAUCCACUCUACCGAUGUAUUUUGAGAAUCUGAUAAACUCGUUCCCUAAUGUAUCCUCUCCUUAUGUGACUAAUACAGUGACUCAGUCUUCCAUGUAUCAUCUUUCAGGAGAAAAGUUGAAUGGCAACAACUAUUUCUCAUGGUCUCAGUCAGUAAAGAUGGUCCUCGAAGGACGACAAAAAUUUAGCUUUCUGACAGGGGAAAUACCUCGCCCCCUACCGGGCGACCCACAUGAACGAUAUUGGAAGGCAGAAGACUCUAUUCUUCGAUCCAUAUUGAUCAAUAGUAUGGAACCUCAAAUUGGCAAGCCGUUAUUGUUUGCUGCAACAGCCAAGGAUAUUUGGGACACAGCCCAGACACUUUACUCAAAACGUCAGAAUGCCUCUCGUCUAUACACGCUGAGAAAGCAAGUUCAUGAAUUCAAGCAAGGAACCAUGGAUGUCACAUCCUUUUUCAAUAAGCUUUCUCUUAUAUGGCAAGAAAUGGACCUAUGCAGAGAACUAGUCUGGCGUGAUCCCACUGAUGGUGUACAGUACUCGAGAAUUGAAGAGAAUGACAGGAUUUAUGACUUUCUUGCUGGUCUUAAUCCUAAGUUUGAUGUAGUUCGAGGGCGUAUACUAGGUCAAAGACCGAUUCCCUCCUUGAUGGAAGUUUGCUCUGAAAUCCGCCUCGAGGAAGAUCGCACAAGUGCUAUGAAUAUUUCCGCAACCCCUACUAUUGACUCUGCUGCUUUUAGUGCAAGAUCUUCUAACAGUAGCAGUGACAAGCAUAAUGGAAAACCAAUUCCUGUCUGCGAGCAUUGCAAAAAACAAUGGCAUACCAAAGAACAAUGUUGGAAGUUACAUGGUCGUCCCCCAGGAAGUAAGAAACGCCCUUCCAACGACAAACAGAACACAGGGCGGGCGUAUGUGAGUGAGUCUGCUGAACCUCCUCAACAAUCCGAUCCACACAAAAACCAAACUGAUCUCAGUCUUGCCACUUUAGGUGCCAUUGUCCAAACAGGUAUACCUCAUUCCUUCGGUCUUGUUAGUAUUGAUGGGAAGAACCCCUGGAUUCUGGAUUCUGGUGCCACAGAUCAUUUGACUGGGUCCUCUGAACAUUUUGUAUCUUACAUUCCUUGUGCUGGGAACGAGACAAUUAGAAUUGCAGAUGGCUCCUUGGCCCCAUUGCUGGAAAGGGGAAGAUUUCUCCUUGUGCAGGGCUCUUCUUACAUAAUGUUUUGCAUGUGCCCAAACUAUCUUAUAAUUUGCUUUCGAUAAGCAAGAUCACUCGUGAGUUAAACUGCAAAGCAAUAUUCUUACCUGAUUCUAUCUCUUUUCAGGACUUGAGCUCGGGGAGGAUGAUUGACACUGCCCGACAUAGUAGGGGACUCUACCUCCUUGAUGACGAUACCUCUUCUAGUAGCAUUCCUAGGACUAGUCUCUUAUCUUCCUAUUUCACUACUUCUGAAAUAGGAAGUCGGUUCCCCUACUAGUCAGCCGCCUACAGUGGAACCGACUUCCUUUUUGUGAUUCCUCCUGUAGUACGUUUUCCAGGGGACUUGGUUUGUGGGUAGGACUAUGGAAUGAGGAAUGAUGUUAGACACGACACUAGGAGUGGGUUCGAUGAAUUCAAAGGUGUUGUUAGACUCUUCACUCACACUCUCCCCCUGAAGAUGGCUAACGGGAAAGUAGGGUCGAUCCUCACAGAAAGUAAACAUCCAUAGUGACAAAGUAUUUUCUGGAUGGUGGGUGAAAACAUUUAUAACCACGCUAGUGAGGGGGAUACCCAACAAACACACAUGCCUGAGCCCGAGGGGUAAAUUUGGUUUGAUUAGGGCCAAAAUUAUGGACAUAAGCGGUACACCAACAAACACACGAAGAGGAACCUCAGAAACAUGACGAGUCGAUGGGUAGGACUCCUUAAGACAAUCUAAGGGAGUUUGAAGAUGAAGAAUACGAGAAGACAUUCUAUUGAUUAAAUGAGCUGCUGUAAGAAUAGCAUCUCCCCACAAGUAUGAAGGAAGGGAAGUAGAAAGCAUAAGGGAACGGGCUACUUCCAGAAGGUGACGCUUUUUUCGCUCGGCCACUCCAUUUUGUUGAGGAGUGUAGGCGCACGAGUUUUGAUGAACAAUCCCCUACUAUGCUGGGCAGUGCCAAUCAUCCUCCCCGAGCUCAAGUCCUGAAAAGAGACAGAAUCAGGUAAGAAUAUUGCUUUGCAGUUUAACUCACGAGUGAUCUUGCUUAUCGAAAGCAAAUUAUAAGAUAGUUUGGGCACAUGCAAAACAUUAUGUAAGGAGAGCCCCGCACAAGGAAAAAUAUUCCCCUUUCCAGCAAUGGGGGCCAAGGAGCCAUCUGCAAUUCUAAUUGUCUCGUUCCCAGCACAAGGAAUGUAAGAUACAAAAUGUUCAGAGGACCCAGUCAAAUGAUCUGUGGCACCAGAAUCCAGAAUCCAGGGGUUCUUCCCAUCAAUACUAACAAGACCGAAGGAAUGAGGUAUACCUGUUUGGACAAUGGCACCUAAAGUGGCAAGACUGAGAUCAGUUUGGUUUUUGUGUGGAUCGGAUUGUUGAGGAGGUUCAGCAGACUCACUCACAUACGCCCGCCCUGUGUUCUGUUUGUCGUUGGAAGGGCGUUUCUUACUUCCUGGGGACGGCCAUGUAACUUCCAACAUUGUUCUUUGGUAUGCCAUUGUUUUUUGCAAUGCUCGCAGACAGGAAUUGGUUUUCCAUUAUGCUUGUCACUGCUACUGUUAGAAGAUCUUGCACUAAAAGCAGCGGAGUCAAUAGUAGGGGUUGCGGAAAUAUUCAUAGCACUUGUGCGAUCUUCCUCGAGGCGGAUUUCAGAGCAAACUUCCAUCAAGGAGGGAAUCGGUCUUUGACCUAGUAUACGCCCUCGAACUACAUCAAACUUAGGAUUAAGACCAGCAAGAAAGUCAUAAAUCCUGUCAUUCUCUUCAAUUCUCGAGUACUGUACACCAUCAGUGGGAUCACGCCAGACUAGUUCUCUGCAUAGGUCCAUUUCUUGCCAUAUAAGAGAAAGCUUAUUGAAAAAGGAUGUGACAUCCAUGGUUCCUUGCUUGCAUUCAUGAACUUGCUUUCUCAGCGUGUAUAGACGAGAGGCAUUCUGACGUUUUGAGUAAAGUGUCUGGGUUGUGUCCCAAAUAUCCUUGGCUGUUGCAGCAAACAAUAACGGCUUGCCAAUUUGAGGUUCCAUACUAUUGAUCAAUAUGGAUCGAAGAAUAGAGUCUUCUGCCUUCCAAUAUCGUUCAUGUGGGUCGCCCGGUAGGGGCGAGGUAUUUCCCCUGUCAGAAAGCUAAAUUUUUGUCGUCCUUCGAGGACCAUCUUUACUGACUGAGACCAUGAGAAAUAGUUGUUGCCAUUCAACUUUUCUCCUGAAAGAUGAUACAUGGAAGACUGAGCCACCGUAUUAGUCACAUAAGAAGAGGAUACAUUAGGGAACGAGUUUACCGGAUUCUCAGAAUACAUCGGUAGAGUGGAUGUCGUCCCUAAGGUAGCCUCAAGUGCUGCUAUCUGUUGUCGAAGCCCUUCCAAUUGUUGAUGAACUAUUCCCGAGGAAACUUGCACGUUACGGUUGGAAUAUGUCGAAGAUUCACCAACCUCAAAUGUUGAGUGAAUUUGAGAGUUUUUAACAUCGGGAUGGUAGAUAGGAUCAUUGGGUGGCUGGCCAUACAAAUUUGACGGCAGAAGCGGUGGUAGCUGAUUGGAAUUAGAUGGCAGAACAUAAAUCGGGGCGUGGGGAGCAAUAUAGGCCGCAGACGAAGAAAAGGGUUGGACAAAUGGGAUGGUCGGCGCCGUCUGAGGAAGAAAACCAGGCGCAUGGUGGUCCAGCGGCGACGCGUGGUGGUCCGGUGACGGCACGGACGACUGCGGUAAUGACGAAAAAUUAUUUUCGGACGUUUUCUGUAGCCGGCUUAAUAAUUUGUCCAUGGCAGCACUCAUCCGAGCAUCGAUGGCAGCAGCUACGGCAGCACUAAAAUUGAUGGUUGUCCCUUCUGUUUGAUUUUUUUUGGGUUUCUAGGGUGUUUUCAUAGUCCCGCUCUGAUACCAUAUUGAAAAGAGAGACAACGAGUUCACACCAAUUUACGUGGAAACCCGAGUACCGGGAGAAAAACCACGAUUGUUUGUUGUUAUUAUUUUCUAAUGAAUAAAACAAUAGGUACAUGGGAGAAUAAAUAGAGUACACAAUGGAAUAAAAAAGGAAAAAAAUUAGGAAAAUAAGGAAUAAGGAAAAUAAGGAAUACAUCCCCAUAAUCUUUCCAUAAUUAUUCUAGGAUUCUAACAAGGAAAAAGCCUAGAAAAAAGGAAAGAAUUCCAACAAUAUGACGAACUAACCUAUCACUAACCAACCUAUCACUCACACGUGUUUCCCCCCUUAAUAACCCUCCAUAACAAACUUAUUUAUAUGACGAACCAACCUAUCACUCACACGUGUCUCCCCCCUUAACAAACUUAUUUCCUCUCCUCUUGUACUGAUAUAAUAUUAGAGGUCUAACAGAAUCCUCACUUCGCUAAGAUGACAGAGAUUCACUCUCCUCAGCAUCUUGCAUUCAGGCUACUGCAAUAACUCCAUCCACAACAUCCAAGGAUUUCUCGGAUUCCUUUCUUGUUACACCAAAUGUCCACACGACGCCGGCAUAUACUAUGUGCACACCACAUAAUAAUAGCUCAACCUCAGAAAUAAGACCAAUAGUUUACUUACACACAAGCAUCACAGUCAUCAUAUAAGAAUCAUUCAAGUUACUCUUACAAAUAACAUAGCACUGGCAUCAUUUAAGACCAUAACAUAUAAUAAUAUACCCAACAAAAUAUGCAUACUACAAACUCAGAAGAAAUGUUUUCAAACACAACUUUCAUACAUGAAAUCAUUCGUCAUAUUCACAUGAUUAUUCUCAACGCAUUCAUAUAAUGAAAGAACACUCACACAAAACAUCCAUUAAGUAUUGAAAAUCGUUUACGUAAAAGUACUUACAAGAGAUAACAUAAAGAAUGCAUAAAUUAAGAGAUUAUUGGGUUUCUUAAAAGUUAUUUAAAAAAACUAGAUACAUAACUAAAUAAAGUAUCAAAUUCAAAGAUGAAAGAGUUAACAUACAUAAAGAAAGCUCUUCAGAUCCCUUCCUAUUGCAACAUCUCUCAAGACAACAAUGGCCCUAUUGAUCUCAACUCUCAAAGCAGAGACAAUCUCUUUCACUGGCUCCUCUGGAAUGUGAAUUUGAGGGAUGUGCGGCAUACAACAACCCCAUUAUUGGUUUCCAGCAUUCUUCAUCGUUAUGAAAAGAAUAAAAGGAACAUUUAAUAUCACUCCUCGCUGACCAAAAAUCAUAGCAAAUGCCUACAUCAAUUACUAGCUUGCUCAUUAAACAGUAUUUCGAUAAAUCUCACAAUAUCACAACCAUGUAUUAAUGAACAAGUUUCCAUCCUAUCCUAACAAUUGUAACAACAAAGAAACGGAAAAUAAAUUAGAGAGAACCAUAAGUGUCAAAAGAUCUCAAAACUCAAUGGCGUAUGUAAGCCACCCAACUCACCUCCCUUGUCCAUAGAUACAUUUUUCAUAAAAAUACAAACCAGCUUCUUUGCAAGCACAGCAAACCGUGAUUAAAACUUAUCACUAAUUGAAUGAAACCCAAUUCAAUAACAAAAACCCUAUAAGCACCAAUUAAAAAACAUGUAAGUCAUAAGUGAUCUAUAUAUAUGAUGAUGCAAACCUACUUUGUAGCAUUGGAGCAAUAAGAUAACUUUCAUAUAUUAAAAAAAUAAAUGGGCUCAAAAAAUUCCAUUUUCAUAGUACAAGAGGAAGUUUGUGAAAUCAGAAGCAGAAAAUGGAUAAUCUAAUAACUUGAACUUGAACAAAUAGAGUAUGAGGAAAAGAACAAUAAGUUUUCAAUUCGCAAAAGCUACAAAAUCAAAGAAACAACGAAUGUCAAAAUGUCAAUCUUAAAUUUAUGAGGAAAAUGGAACACAAGUAUUGUGGGAAUGGCUUGGUACCUAAACUUUAUGUUGGGCUCGAUUGAACCUCAUAUCCCCGGUCCAGACUGACAUUGAAACGUCGAACACCAACCAUGGUAACAAACUUGGUUAGAGGAAACUCUUGUUAUUUGAGAAACAUAGGGAUUGGAAAUAACUGUUGCGUCUCCAUAAAUCCUACCAGAGAGAGAGAGAGAGAGAGCUUAAACAAACUUGUCAAGUUUGCAAGAACUACAAAUUUUUUAAUUUGGCUCAAACCUCUUUUCGAGAAAGUUCUUCUGUUCAAGAGUAUAAUGAGAGCGAGAAGGAUUUGUAAGCUUUGCAGUUGUUGAACUAACUGCACAUCCUCUUAGUCUACCAAUUGAUAAAAAAGUUAUUACAUGCUUAAAGAUAUACCCAAAGCAAAGAUAUACUCAAACCUCUUUUCGAGAAAGUUCUUCUGUUCAAGAGUAUAAUGAGAGCGAGAAGGAUUUGUAAGCUUUGCAGUUGUUGAACUAACUGCAAAUCCUCUUGGUCUACCAACUGAUAAAAAAGUUAUUACAUGCUUAAAGAUAUACCCAAAGCAACAUCUUCCUAUUAUACAUUUCUUAACUAUUAGAAGGAAACAACAUUUCUUAACUAUGACGUAGGUGGUGUUGGAUUUGUUGGUACCUUCCAGAUGUACCCAAAGCAACAUCUUCCUAUUAUACACACCCAACUGGGGCACAAUAACGCUCCAGACUCGGGCAAAAUAACGCAUUGUUUGAAACAAAAGAAAAACCAGAAAAAGGUUCAAAUACCUGGCAUUGGUGACCAAAUGAAAUUUGACAAAAAAACAUUUGUGAAUUCAUCACACUCUUCGGCAUCCAUGGGUUUACACCUGAGAAGUUAAUAAAAUUAUGAGAAGCUAAUCCAAUCAAACAUGGGAGAAGCAUGUGAUAAGGGAGCGGUAAAAAAGAAUCAUCCCAUCUAAGGAAUUAGAAAAGGAAGUACGAGAAUUAAUUAAAAAAGGGAAACGAGAAUAGAAGUUACUCUUCAAGGUUCCUGUAGGAGGAGAAUAGUUUGUGCAAGUCAUCUCCAUAACCCAAUGCUGGGAUUUUCCUCACAAUCAAAUACCUGUUGAAUUUCAAAAUGAACAAGCUAAAUAUGACCAAGUGGGAAAGACAUGCAUAAAAAUGAAACAUUUAACAAGCCUAUUACUAACUGGAGUUGGACAAUGAUGUAGAAGAAAAGAAGAAGAAGACUAACCUUGAAUCAUUAGCUUCAAGUGUCUAAUAAUUGUAGAGAGACGAGCUGAUAGACAAAGAACCCACUAGUACAAAAGUGGUCUACGACGACAGUUAUUUACUGUCGUAAACGAAUUUCGCGACAGUUAUUUUCAGUCAUACAAGCGAGAGUCAUGGAAAGUCCUUCGACGACAGUUUUCGAAAACUGUCGCAAUAGGUUAUUUUAUGACAUUAAAUAAAUGUCGUUAAUCAACAUUCAACUACUUCAAAUAACUGUCAUAUUCUAUUUUAUGACAGUUAAUAACUAUCAUCAUUUCUUUAUUAACGACGGUUAAAUAAAUGUCACAAAUUCAUUUAUUGUGACAUUUAUUAAUUGUCAUGAAUAUGUUAUUCGCGACAGUUUUUUUUUUUAAAAUGUCAUUGUUUAGUUAUUGACGACAUUUUUUCCCAGCCAACGAUUGUGCAAUCGUGACAGUUUUUCGAUAACAUUAAAUGUCAUUGUUUUGCUAUUGACGACAUUUUUUUCCAGUCAAAUAUAUUGCAAUUGUGACAGUUUUUUUUGAAAAAAAAUUGUCAUUGUUUAUCUAUUGACGACAUGUUAUUCCUGUCACAUAUAGACAAUCGUAACAAUUUAUUUUGUUAAAUAACUGUCAUCGUUCUCCAAUUUACAACAACUAAUAACUAUCACAAAUUCGUUUGUUACGUCAUUUAUUUCCUGUUCCACAUUUCUCAAUUUCCUAUAGUUUUUUCCUGUUCUCCAUGCAGCUCCACCAUUACACGAACCAUUUGAAUGACAAUAAUGUAGCUGAGAAUGACAAAUUUGAAUUUAUACAAGUUUCACACCAAUGUACAAAAAAAUAGCCAACACUUUAAUAUAUAUACACUAUAAUACGAUUUAUAAUAUUUGUACAUCUUAAUACAAGUUUCAAUAAUCCACAUGUACGGAAUACUAGCCCUUAAUCAAAAAAUAUUUUAAAUAGCAUUAGAAUACAUCUAACAAGAUUUUCUGCAGAAGCAUAAACGACCCAACCGAGAAUGUUCGUUUCUGGAAAUGUUCUUUGAAAGAAAACUCAUGAAGUUGUCGACUCCAGUUGAACCUACAAAGACAACAUGAAUAUAAGUAUCCAUAACACAUACGUACAGUCAAUGAAUAACUAAAUCAAUGUCUCAACAAAAUACAGAACACAAACAAGAACUUCAACACUUGAUUCCAUGAAAUGAAAAGAGAAGCACAUGAGGACUACAUUAGGCAAACAUAGCAAACAAAAACAUACUGCUACUCUUUCUCUCUAGCUAGAAUACACAUACCAAAAACAUACCCCAUCUCACUCUCCCCUUCUCUAUUCAUUUUACUACCCCACUCAUGGUGGUCCCUCUUCAAUAAGAGUUUUGCUUGUGGGAGAUCUUUCCCUUGGGAAUAUGAGUUCUCACUUGACCAAUAAUAUACCUCAUAAUGAUAAGAAACAAAUGGUCACUGCAAGAAGAAGUGGAAGAACCAGAUUAUCAUAUUACAGAUGCCGAACAUAAUAUGGUAAUGGAUAUCAAAUCUGAUAAUGAAAAUGAAGUUCCUAAGAAGAGGAGAAAGAGAUCUAGGAGAAGAAGAACGUCCAACCAAAUGGCCACUGCAAAUUGAACAACUUCUUGGGUUGUUCCUAGUACUUAGAACAAAACAACCUACGACAAUACAUGUACGACAAUUUGUAAUCCUUAGAGUUGAACAGUUUGUAUUAGGCAAUCAUCGCAAAUAAAGAUGAACUAUGAAUAAUCAUGUACCAAUUCUCUCAAAUUAUUAAAACGAAUAGGAAGAUUACAGUAACUACUCAGGUUCACGAACAAAAAAAGUGCUACAGGGAAUGAAGGGUUCAUGUGAAAACAUACAUGUAUCGACAUACCAUUCAUUGUUGGUUUACGACAAUGUAGGUCUAUAGCGUCUUACUUGAAUGAAGUGCCCAGCAUUAUCCCAUGUGUAUGACAAAGCUGUCCAUAUUUUGGAAGACCGCAGUACUGAAUUACAAAAACCAAUUAGACAGCACAUUGCAAAAACAUACAUCUCUAAUCCUCAAUCCAUAUAUUAAACAUUCAAAGCUAGUGAACCAAGGACACAAGCAAAUAAUCACCUUCGACAGUUAUUUGAUUGCAAGAAGAUUCAUAUCCCAAUGCAGUAUGGCACCAAAUAACAAAAUUCCAUGAGCCAGUCACAUAUAUAUCGAACUCUUCAUAAGAAACCUAUAAGCAAACACACAUUCAUAUCCACUUACUUAAAAGCAAGUCACAUAUACUUAGAUGUGAUAAAAUAACCAUUCACUUACCCCUUUCAUGCUUAAGUCUGUUCAAAACAAUGUGCUUAACAUUUUCUUGUAUGUCGUUCGGGUUUAACAAAAUUAUAUUAACAAAAAAUCCCCACAAAAUACUUCAAAAAAUGUUGUUUCCUAAUCUGGUGCUAAGCACGAUGUACGUGCUUAGAAAGGAACUCCGCCAAUUCCGAUCUAACUUCAUCGAUUUCAUCUUGAGAGUACGUAGGAGGUAAAUAGAGUACGUAGGAGGUAAACUUUUCAUCUGUAAAUAAUAAAGUGGUUAAGAAUUAUUUUCAUUCCAAACAAUGACAUAAAGUGGUUUCAAAACUCUAAUACUUACGACAUCUACAAUCGAAGUACUCCUCGCAGAAAUUAUGUCCCGCAUGAAUCGCAUAACAUAGUACCUGCAUUCUACCACCCAUUUUGUUUGGGACACUGGAUGUAGAAUAUAAAAAAUACAUGUGAAACGUUUAAAUUAAUAACUUAUUUACGACUACCCUACUGGUCAAUGCCACAUACCUUAACAACCUUCCAAUUCGGUUUUUUCUUCUUUGAUAUAUUGAAUGACCUACCACAUAAUAUAAGAUUGUUACAUAAUUAAAAUAGUUGUACACAUAAUAAAGACAUUAACGACAAUAAUAUGACCUACAUUUGAAGCACUUCACUCAUGUCUCCGUCAAUCCGAUUCUUCAACGGGUCAAUCCAAUAUGCAACACCUUUGUAGGAUUAACAACGACCAAUGUCCAAUGAUUGCUAAGAACACAUUUCCACCAUUAUAAAUUAAUAUUUUAAUAGUGAAUUCAAAUCGUGAAUGCUAAUGAAAAUGUCAUUGUCAUGCGCUUACCCAGAGUUGUAUGGGAACAAUACUACUUGGUCAUACUCGGCACCGAGAAGUCGAGCAUUCAACAACUGCGCACGCGAUUGUUUGUAACUCGAGUAACUUACAGAUCCGGCAUCCAUGAACUUGAACAAGCUUGAACUUCGUCCUUGUACCAUAAUUGUGUGAAGGUACCUACACAAUGAAAUGACAUUACAAUUAAAAGGAGACCGCAACCAUCAAUGACGUAUAUAUAUUAAAAGGAAAUCUUACAUCAUGUAAGCAUCUAAGCAUGAUGUGCAUAUUGGCUGCAUUGACGAGAAAUCCCUCAGUGACUCAACCAUAAUGCAACAUUUUCUCUUCACACCGAAUAGCUCUAAAGGCGUGUUUAGUUGAAUCGAUGACCCCAUAUGUUCAACGAGUCUAACCAAACACCGGAGUGCCACUAGAGCACGUAGAUAUGCUGCCAUAGAGAAUGUGGACGGAUCCGUAUUGAAGCCCACAGUUUCCUUCUAUCACAAAAAGUUCAACUACUGUUAGUAUAAUUUGAUGCAUAAAAACUCCAACACAAUAAGACAGACAAUUACCUUAUCAUUCCUAGUAAGAACAAGAUGUCGUGGCCACAAUAAAUGUGAUCCGACUUCAUGCGUCAGUUUGGUGACUCCUUCCUUUGUCGGAUUUGGAAUCACACAUUGGCCAUCGAGGACAACAUCCACUGAUACCUUGAUGUUCUCACCGUCACCUUCAGCAUCAAAUAUUGUCCCAUGUGCAAUGAUAGUAUCUUCAGUUUCAAACGCAAGCAUACACAGAGUUCCAACCUACGUAGAAUUAUAUGUUAAAUAUGUGCACGUAAAGUUAGUCAAUACGUUUUCAGGGUUAUGUCUAACUUCUUACAAGAUUAAACACGUAUAUAGAAUUGUUGUGGAGCAGUGUGCCUUAAUUAGUAAAGUAUACUUUAAACUAACCUUCAAGUCACUUGAUCUUGUGUCCCCCACAUUUUCUUCUUUGUUCACUUCUGUCACAACGUCAGCCGCUUUAUCUGGUACUGAAUCAGAGGCUACGUCUUCAGUCUCAUCAUCUGAAACCCCUUCAACUGAUGGUGUUCCUUUCGAACACAUACUAGGGUCUUGUUCUUCUUCAUCUCCUUUCGCACACUCAUCUUUUUUCAUUUUAUGCAACUUCGCUUCUAGCUCGAUAAUUCGUUUGGCAAUUUGAUCACGUUCCUCAUACACUGUCCUCUCCUCAUUACCUUCUUUAGAUUCCAUUGGGGUAUGGAAAUAUUUUUUCUUAGUCACGUACUUCCCCACGCCUCGGAGUAUGCCCGGACGAUCUUUCCCUCCCAAUGCCUGGGUGAGAACAUCGUCACCACCAGAUAAACUACGUCCCUUCUGGUUGCCCAUUAGAUCGUCCUAAAAUAGUGCAUGAAAUGGAAAUUAAAAGAUGUGAAACCAUAGUAACAAAAAAAACAUAGAAAUUAUAAGUUGCCAAAUUUUCUCAACUUGUUAACUUACAAUGAGAUUGGCAACGUCCAUCGUCUCUUUAUCUGGGAACUCUCCCUUACGAUCCAACCGUGCAUGUUUCCAUACUAUCGAUCGAUCUAUUUGAUCUGACGAAGAAGAUGCACGCUACAUAAACAGUAUAUGUUAUAUUUGGAAUCUAACAUCAUGAAAACAAAGAACAUCUUUAAGGGCAGUUACUUACCAACUCCUCAACCAGAUUUGCAUACCCCUUGCGAGAUAUUCUAUGGUUGUAUUUGUACAGGCUCCUUUUCAGUUUACCAUCUUCACUUUUUUUCUGUAGAAAAAGUUGUAUAACCUCUAUUAAAUUAACAUAUUUGUGUAACAAAUUGUACAUAAAGUAUAAGAAAAUGUUUGGAUAUCCAUACGUACUUCAAAAUCUUCCUUCAACCGUGAAGCCACAAAUUCAUCCCAAUGGUCUUGAUCGAUGAAUGAGUAUUCCGCUGGUGGGUGUUUUAAUUUCUCCACAUCGUCCUUAAAUGGAAGUACGUACGUAGUUGUUAAUCUCGACUUGAACCCACGAUAGCAUACUCCCGCGUUUUGAAGUAUGUUUUUCUUCGACUUGGGGUCAAGAAUGAAGCCGGCCUACAAAAAAAAUAAUAAUAAAAUGUAUUAAAUCUGUUGAAGUUGGUAGUUUAACCUAAAAACACUCAAUAAGAAGCAUUUUUACCUCAAUCAAUUCAUAAAUUUUCCCCUUCAUCUCCAUUGGAACAACAUGCCAAGUAGAGUACGUGAUAGGAACGUGAAACCUUACGGUCGUUCCAAUAAAACUCUUCAACUUCGUUGCAUUCGGUCCAAUCGGUUGACCUAGUUCAUUGUACUGAAUAACCAUUCUCCGUCCCUCACUACUAAAACGUGUUAUAUCUUUCAUUCCCGUAGGGCCACGUUUCUUUUUCUGGCUACUAGUUUCCCCUCUUUGAAUGGGUGUAGCAACCUCAUCAUCAUCUGAAUGAACCAUUACUGCAAACAUACAUGUGAUUUAAAACAUAAUACAUGUGAUUUAAUUGUAAAUGUGAAAUAUGAAAUAACCAAAAAAGUGUUAACAUAACUAAACAUUAAUAAACCCUUGGUUCUCAAAGAAAAUAGGAAACAAUUCAUACAAACUUAAUUAGGCAAAAUUCACACUAAAUAUGGUAAAGCACAUAACACUUUCAAAUUAGAACAUCUACUACAUAAAAUUCUCUAAAAUUUGAAAACAAAGAAAGUAUUGAACAUGAAAAGAAAACUUGAUAACGAUACAUUCUGAAGUAGUCAUCUCUGAAAAUGGAAUAGUCCUACAAAGAAGAAAAAAACAACAAUGAUUAACUCAUUUGUGGGGAUAGUCAAUUGGUAACUCAUGUGCUUUCACAGUCAGGUCUAGCAUAUGUUUCACCACCUUCGUCAAAAUCAAAAGUUGUGUGGUAAGAAGAGAGUGGGGGAUAGUGAGGCAAGAUGUCACUUAUGUCAUCAUCAACACAUUUGUGGGGAAAUUCCUUCUCGGGUGGCAUCACAACAACCGACCAUCUUGGAUCAACAGGAUCUGUGACAUAGAAUACUUGUCUUCCGUGUGUGGCAAUAAUGAACGAAUCUGAAGGUGGCCAAUUCGACUAAGGUCCACCAGUGUGUAGUUCAGAUCGUCCUUCGAACAGCAGCAUUAUUUUCAACCCAAUUGCAUUUGAAAAGAACAACCUUAAACAUAUUGUAGUUGACUUCCCAAAUCUCUUGAAUGGUGCCAUAGAAAGACAUGUCACAGACGACCGGGUUUUUGUCCUUCGCACUUGACACUUGCAUUGUUGUUGCGACUAACAUAAUCCCACUGUUUUGCACCGUUCGGUAGUCAUCACGAGAUUUUGUGUGGUAAGACGUUCCAUUAAUUAUGUAUCCGUCGUACAUCAUUAAAGCAGGGUGGGGUCCAUGUGCAAGCCAACGUAUGGUGUUCGAGAGAACCUUCCCUUCCUGUAGUUCACUCAUCACCUAUUGAAUAGAACAAUUAGUCGUUCUAAAUAUUGAACAAUUAGAUUAAACGAAAAUAAAUUUUUGAUUGUGUACGUACCCGAUCCCUAAACCAUGCACUGAAGGAUCGAUUAUGUUCAACUUGUAGCCACUGUUCAUUUUUUGCUCUUCUGCGAUUUUCUAUCUUUAAUUGAUUGAAAUGUUGCCUACGAAAUGUUUCAUACAUUAAAUUGGUGGCUUGAGGGUAAAUUAAUGGCAGUAUAUACUCAUACGAAUGCUUACUCAACGUAUGGGUGCACUUCUCCAAUGUUCUGUAAGACAUGAAGAUGUGCUUGCUUGAGUUGUUGGACAUCGGGUCGAACGUAUGUUCCUGCUGAUAGCGGUCGAUCGCUUUGUAUUUCUGUCCUUGAAUUGAGUGACCCAAGUCCAAUAGGAUCUAAUCCAGAAAGAAAAUCUGAACAGAAUUCAACUGCCUCCUCGCAUAUGCUUGCUUCUGCAUUGCAUCCUUCCGGUCGAGCUCUACUGCGAACAUAACUUUUCAACACUUUCAUGCAUCGUUCAAAUGGGUACAUCCAUCGCAAAUAUACUGGUCCACAAAGCUUUACUUCUCUAACGAGAUGAACGACAAGGUGAACCAUGAUUGUAAAAAACGAGGGUGGGAAAUACUUCUCAAGAUUGCAUAAAGUCAGAACUAUAUCUUCUUGAAGUGCAUCAAGAUCUGAGACAGAAUUUUUUUUGGCACAAAUCGCAUUGAAGAAGAAGCACAAUCUACUAAUAGUGUACCUCACAUUCUUCGGUAGGACUGAACGUAUUGCAAUUGGAAGCAGUUGCUGCAUUAAAACAUAACAGUCGUGCGACUUAAGGCCGGUCAGUUUUAAGUCAUCCAAAGAGACACGACUACUAAUAUUUGCUGAAUAACCUUCUGGAACUUUAAUUUCUGACAAAGUCUUGCAAAAUCGAUACUUCUCUUCUUUUGACAGUGUAUAACAUGCCGCAGGGAUAUAAGUUCUAUUACCAGUAAACGUUGGUGCCAAUUCUGGUCUAAUUUUCAUAUCAACCAAGUCAAGUCUAGUAUUCAUCCCAUCCUUACUUUUUCUUGGUAUAUCAAGUAAGGUGCCCACUAUGUUCAUGCAUACAUUUUUUUCAAUAUGCAUUAUGUCUAAACAGUGUCGAACAUGCAAGUGUUUCCAAUAUGGUAGUUGAAAAAAAGCAUGUCUUCUUUUCCAAUAGUCAUUGCCACCUUCAUUAUGCACGGUCUUCCCACACUUCUUCCCUCAUGAAAAUAUCAUGUCUUUCAUCUUAAGGUACAUGGCCUUGCCGACAAGGGUUGUGGAGGAAUUCCAUGCUCUUGCUUCCCAUUAAUUAUUUUUUUUUUUUGUAAUCUGUAUGGAUGAUGUCUUGGCAAAUACUUCCUGUGUCCCAUGUAUGACAUUUUUUUUCAUGUUGCAAUCUUAUAGAAGUAGUCUCCUCUCCACAUAUUGGACAAGCCUUAUAUCCUUUCACACUAAAACCGCAUAGAUUACCGUAUGCUGGAAAAUCGUUGAUGGUCCAUAAUAAGACAGCCCGCAGUGUGAAAUAUUCUUCCUUAUAUGCAUCGAAACAACGAACUCCAUCCGUCCACAUCGUUUGUAGAUCAUCAAUUAAAGGUGCUAAGUACGUAUUGAUAUCGUAGCCCGGUUGCUUUGGACCUGAUAUUAACAUUGUCAGCAUCAAAUGUUUUCUUCUCAUACACAGCCAUGGUGGAAGGUUGUAUAUUGUAGUGAUGAUGGGCCAACAACUGUACGUCGUCGACAUAUCUCCAAAUGGGUUAAUUCCAUCAGUAGACAAACCCAAACGGAGAUUUCUCGGUUCUGACCCAAAGGUUGGCCACAUGUGGUCUAUCAACCUCCAUGAUGGAGUGUCAGCCGGGUGUCUCAAAAUACCAUCAACUUGUCUAUCUAUCGCAUGCCAACGCAAGUUCUUAGCAUUUUCAGAUCUCUUGAACAUUCUUAUAAAUCUUGGAAUUAUUGGAAAGUACCACAUCUACUUAGCAGCCACACCACUUUUUUCCUCUUUUGAGUUCUUAGCGAUCUUCCACCUUGACAAACCACACUUAGGGCACUUGGUCAACUUUUCAUAUUCUUUUCUGUACAAGCAACAAUCAUUAGGGCAUGCAUCAAUCUUUUGGUAACUCAGUCCUAGGGCACCAAGUGUUUUCUUCGCUUCGUACAAAGAACAUGGAAUUUCAUUGUUAUCAGGUAAUAAAUCACUUAUUAUGGACAGCAAUUCAGAGAAGCUAGUAUUCGUCCAACCAUACUUAACCUUCAGGUUAUACAAUCUCACGAGGGCUGAUAACUUUGUGAAUUUCUUACAUCCUGGGUAUAAGGGUUUCUUCGCGUCAUCAAACAUAGUGUCGAAGGUAUUUGAUGCAUUACAAGAUUGUUCUUGAACAGAUUGAACCAUAUUAAUUGUAUUAAAUAAAUCGUCGUUUUCAUCAGUUUCAUCCACUGUAUUUUCCAUCGUGUUGGCAACGUGAUCUGAGUUCAAUUCUUCACCAUGCCAAAACCAUACCUUGUAACUCUUAUCAAUUCCAUUGGCAUACAGAUGAUACCGAACUGUUGAGACAUCCUUAAGUAAACGAUUGCCGCAAUUCAAACAUGGACAUCUAAUUGAAUUAAGACCUUUGGCAUGACUCAACCCAAAUUUAAUGAACCUUUCGACUCCUAAAUCAUAUUCUCUUGACAUCCUAUUUUGGGUCAUCCAUGACUUGUCCAUUUUGUAGAGGUCUAAGUUGGCCUCGAAAUAAACCUGAUUACAAAAGAGAUUAUAGGCAACAACUUUUAAAACUCAAACUUUCAAAACGGUAGAUGAUCCUCAAAGUACUUAAUAAUUUAUUUCAUACCAUUUAGGAAUUUUCUAGCUGUAUUUGAAACGAUUGUGGUAGGAAAAAGCGUCACAGAUAGACACACAAAAGUAUAUUUUCCAAAAUAGAUAAUCAACAUCAAAAUUAUAUAUACUAAAGAAAAUAUUGUAACUAUAUAUACGAAGAAAAUAUCGUAAUCCACCUAUUAACACUCAAAUACCAUGAAACAUUCUCCUAAGACUUGAGUCAAUUCAGACCUCCCCUAUUGGAUUUUGUCGACUUUGACAGUUUUGAAGACUUUCGUCCCUAUUAAACGAAUCACUCGAAUGCCAUGAUGAAAAGUAAUGAAAUUUGUUACAUUAAUUUGAAAGGUUGUCUCAUUACCACAUUAGUGAUGAAACCAUCUUGAAGGAAACUUCUGGACUAGGUUCAACAACCCCCAAUUAGCAUAAAACAUUUGAAGGACAAUUUCCUUUACAGACAUGAUGAAUGAUGAAGGGAAUUAGUUGACAAAUAAUUAUAACAAUAGUUUGUCUUUAGUUAGUUGAUUAGGGUAGGUUUGUAUAAGUAGUUUGGCUUACAUUGUACAAGUAAUUAGACUAAUUUUAGAUUGUACCACAGUACACUGCCAGAAAUUAAAAUUGAAGAGAAAUUAACAGUUAGAAAACAGAAAUUGGGCAUAACUCAAUUCACAAAAUAAGCUCAUGUGGUUGCAAGAACGAAUUAAGGUCAUAUAACAGAAAAUCAACGAUUAAUGACUGAAAUUGGGAAAAACUGAAACUCACGAAACAAUCCAAUGGAGACAAAGAAGAACUUCAUAGAGAGAGAAAGAGAGAAAGAGAUAAGCUUACCGGCAGAGGGGAGGGGUAACGACCGACACCCACGAUUUGAAGCUUCGGGUUGAUUGCAGAGGUUUGGAGAAGACCGGGGUGGUGGCGACGGGUUGGUGGAGGAGGUUUGGACGGACGGGUAGGAGGGGGGUGGUGGUGGCGACGAGACUUCAAACGGUCGGAAUUGGGAGAAAAGCGAACGGUUUCGGAAUGGGAGAAAUUUUGGGCACAAUGCGAUUGCGAACGGACGGACGACCGGGCAGGAGGGGGUGCUAUUAGGGCAUACGGAUGGGAGGAAGAAAUUGGGAAGAGUUUGGGGAAAUUUAGGGCACGCGGAUGGGAGGAAGAAAUUGGGGAAAAUUUGGGGGAAAUUUAGGGCACGCGGAUGGGAGGAAGAAUUUGGGGAAAAUUUUGGGGAAUUUGGUUUUUUUUUAAAUAAAAAUAUGUAAUUUUAAUUUUUAAAAUAUAAAAUAAUAAAUUUUUUAAUGGUAACAUUCUAUGACAUUAAAUAACUGUCGCGAAAGUGUUUUCCGAAAAAUUCCGUCUUUUCCCGCCAAAAACGCAAAAUUUUCUAUUUUAUGACAGUUUUUUAUUUUCCCAUUCAUUUUUUGAGAUAUACAACUGUCAUAGUAGACAGGUUUUCUUCUAGUGACCCUAAGCAAAACCCUUGUAGACAACGAUGCGUUGCCUUGUAGAUGACGAUGGUGCCAAAGCUUCAACGUUAGCAAUUGGAUAGAGAAAAUGACGACGAGGUCAUCGGUUGAACGACAGUCGUGUGAGACAGGAUGUGGAUGGGUAUAGCAGCAAAAGAGAUGAAAGUAUUGUCGUCGUUUGGUUUGAUGCGGGGAGUUUGCUUGAGCAAAAAGAAGAAAGCGUGAAACGCUCCAAAGUCGAAAAAUAUUAGAUGGGAUAAAUUUUUCUAUUUCCCACUUUUUUGCUUUUCAAUAGCACAAUUUAAAACAAGCUAUCCUUAAGGCUAUUAAAAAACUUUUCUUCUAGUGAGUCACCCACAAAACUCUUGGUCUCAGCUCCACCUCUUCUAUGUUAAGGUAUUUUCUUUUGCCUAAAGGCUACCAUAACCAACUUCUCAGCAUUUGAAGCUCCUUUCAGCUGUCUUUUCGAGGAUGGUUUCAACUCCUUCAUUAAUCCUCCACUCUAUUUAUAGAGACCUCUUAUUUCCAAGGCCACUUUCGUGCUUUACACUUGUUUCUUUGUCAAAUCACCAUGCUAUGCAACUAACCCGAACCCGACACGUAUGUUAAAAUGCAGUAGUGAUUGGACCCUCCCUUGAGACAACAACCUUAUCUUCUUGGAAAGUCAAACUCUUUAAUUAUCUAGCUUCCUCAGACAUAACUACUUCUUCUUAUGAUGCCCAUUUUUAACGCAAUUGACCCAAACGUAUCCUUCUUUGCUUAACGCCUUUUCUAGGCUUUUACUUGUCUUAGAUAGUCCUUUUGACAAGGGUUAUUUCUUUAGAUCAGGACCUCACAACUAGUCCCUCCUUUUUGGAAUUUCGUCCUCGAAAUUCUUUGUGUAGUAACUUUAUGGUUCUCACUGUACCUUAAAAUUCAAAACUCAAAGUUUUCUUUCCCUUUUCGUACAGCGGAAUCCUUCUGCACGAAUUAUUAAAACGAGAGAAACUGCAUUCCUAUUUGCGUUGGUCCUACCCCAAUUGUGGUCUUCUCUUGGCAAUCAUAUUGAUAUUGCCCCACUUUUUCACACUUAAAACAUUCAAUUUUGUGCUUACAAGUUCCUGUGUGUCUCUUCCCACACUCAAUGCAUUUUGAUCUCUAAUCUUCAUACUAAUAUGACCCUCGAAUAAAGUAGAACUUCCCCUGCUUACUUAUCUUUUCACCAUUCCCCUUUUCUACUUCCUUACCUACCUUCAGAUUUAUUUUCUUUUUCUUCACGCUUCUUUCAUCUUCUUUAAUCAAAUACCUCUCAACUCUCAUGGCUGCCUCAAUCAACUUAGAAAUAUCUAUUCAAUUCAUACUUGUCGUCACUGGAAUUCGAAUUGUCGUUCUUAACCCUUGUUCAAAACAUCUACAAUUAUUCUCUUCGUCUACUACAAAGGUCAUUGCAUACUUUGCAAGUUUGGUGAAUUUCUUUUCAUACUCCGUGAUAGUCAUAUUGUUAUGUUCAAAUCUUAGAAAUUCUUUCCUCCUUUCAUCCACAAACGAUUGAGGAUAAAACUUCUUUUGAAAUCCUUUCCUGAAUCCUUCCUAAGAAAUAAACUAUAUUCCUCCUCCACUUGUCGCAUACAGGAUCCACCAAUCCUCAACGUUACCUUGCAACAAGAACGUUGCUAAUUUUACCUUCUUUUCUUCUAGGCAAUCCAUUACCCUAAAGCAUUUCACAACCAAGCUUAGUCACUUUUUUGCAUUAGCUCGAUUUAUGGUUCCUUAGAAAGUUGUGGCUCCCAACGCCUUUAGUCUUUCAAUACUAAAUUGCUUCUCUGAUCGUUUUAACAUUUGGGCAACGAACCCUUUCAAGAAAUGUCUCUUCACUUUCUAUCAUUGCAUUGUAAUUGACUGAAUUAGUUUCUAAGUCCAUCAUAUGCUCAAUAGUAGUCAGGGAUCUAGUUUGUUCUCUACUGGUCCAUGGUAUGAUGUCAACUUCUUUCUACAAAACAACUUAAAAUUUAGCCCAAUUCCUUCACUAGAACUUAAAAGUUAGUACUAACUCUUUAUUCCAAGAUAUAAAUAUUGCAUGGUACAUAGCUAACUGUAACAAAUCAUUUGGUUACACGAUCGAAUUUGGCUUACCUAUGCCAGGAAAUUAUGCAUUUGAAGUUAGCUCUCGCACGUUAGAAUUAUGUGGUUGAAGACAACUCUCGCAUACUAUACGGUCGAAGUCAGCUCUCACAUACUAAUGUGGCCGAAGUAAGCUCUCGUAUAUUAUACAGCCAAAGUCAACUCACACAUGAUAAUUCAUGCGACCAAAAUCAAUUUUUCACAUAAUGAAGCCAUAUGGUAAGAUUUAGCUCUCGCGUAUUUAGCGCCUGUUAUGGUGACAAUUAGUACACAACAAUAUGCUUAGUAGAAUAGAUGAUAACUUGUAGAAAAAUAAAAGUCAUUAUGGUCUUUUAGAUAAAAUAAUGUGACCAAAAUGCUAAAAAAAAUGUAUCAAAACACGUAGAUUAUGUUGUAAAUGCAUAAAUAUUUAGAAAUACAUUUUACAUAAGCAUACAUGCAUGUUUCACCCUAUUUUUAGCGUCUUAAUGCAAGCUAAAGAACAAAAGAAUAAGUCAGUGAAUCACAAAGGAGAUCCCACAAAGACUAGACGAGAAGACCACAUCAGAACGUUAGAAAAAGGUUUGCUAGAAAACAAAAGUGGUAGAUGGAGUUGAAUGUGACCUGACAAUAGAAGCAGCUUUUGGUGCGGACAUACUCAGAAUGAUAGAUUUCCCACCUAAAUCUACCUAUAAAAAAUGACUCCAUCUCUAUCAAGAAAAUAAGGUCUGAGUGGACCAUUUUAGCAGGCUUGACUAAGCCAUUUAGAACCGUGGGCCAAGCUCUAGAGAAAGGUGGAAAGGAAUAGUCUUUCUAAUGUUUAUAAAGGUGUUUCCUCAUCUUCUUCGGUCAUUUUGUAAAGUGAAAGCUUAAGGGUUGAGUGAAAAAAAUCUCAUUCCCCAUCUUUCCCUAACUUGUAAUGUCAUUCUCUAUUCACUACUACAAAAAAGGCUUUACUUGAUGCUUAAAAACUGUCAAGUAUUUGUUACUUGACGCUUUUCAAUGUGUCAAGUAAUCCAGUGUCAACAACAAGAAACAAAGACAUCACCCUCCUCCAAGCACCACAACGCUCUUAGAUAACUCCAAACUAAUCAAAGUUUCACUAAUUGUUAUCCUCAACUCCUUGAAAUCUACAAACAAAAUAAGAAUAGCAUUAAAACUAAGUACUUUACCUUCUAACUAUAGGACUAAAGAAACUAUAUAUUUGUAGUAGUGAUUCUUCCCAUUUUUGUAUUUCUUUACAUUGCAUUUGUUCCUAUUAUACAGUUCGACCUUUGUUCUUUAAUAUAAUGUAUCUUUUUACCUUUUCAACCUCUCCAUGUCUUUACUGUUCAUUUUUUGAUGUAAUUCAAAUUUGGAUUGAUUUCUCAAAAGAAUUCUCUGCCAUAUUUCAGGCUAGGAGACUGUUAUAUAUUGAUAUCUCAAGGUUGGUUACAAGUUAGUUACAAGGUUGUUUUAUUUAGUUAGUUAAUUACUGUUUUAGGAAGUUAGUUACAGCUGUACUUCUAAUUAGUUAGGGAUUUUUACUAACUAACUAGCUAUAGUUUACAUCAUUUGUCUUGUGUUAUUUGUAGUUUAGGAUCUAUGAUAGAUUCUUGAUAAGAAGCUUUGCUUAUAAUUCUUACCGCGUUAGUUGAGUUGCUUUCAUCACUUGGCCAGUGUAUAUCGUCAACUACUCGAGAAGGAAAGUAACAAGGAUAUAGCUAACGCGCACAAGAAGGAGUUUAGAGACAAACUCAAUCUUGGUGAGAUAGCUUCCAAUUUAUGUCGGGAACAAGUGUAGGUAUUACGCGCCAAGAGAUUACUACCCUUAAACACAAAGCUCUAUAAGCCUUUUAAGUGAACACUUCUAGAUAUAUACCUUAUUUAGCUAGGAUUAGUCAUUUGAAUCCCGACAAGUGAUUAAUUAUGGUGUUUAAAGACUCCAAAAGGAGCUCUCCUUAAUCAUAAGCUAGUUAGGUAAGUCAUAUCGUGUCAAGAUUUUCAUAUGGCUUAAUCGUCGAGUAGCACUAUACAUUCCCUCACCUCAUCGUUAAUGCAAGUUAGUUCACGCUUCCAUUCUCCCAACUACCUUCAUUAAAUUACAGAGUUAUCUAGUGUACAUAAGUUUGAUAUAGUUUAAACAUACACUCUCUUAUAUUGUAUAAAAUUCUUUGAUACUGCCUAAUUGAUAAGUAGACCCUAGAACUAAGCUUUGAUAUCAAUUCCCUAUGUUUGACUCUAAAUCAUCCAAGAAAACCUAUUGUUUAACUUACACUUAGGCAUCCAAUAGGAAAACUUGUACACAUAAGGAGGACUUAGAAGUAUGUGAUGAGAGAGGAUAUUGGGAGCAUUUUGCAUGUAAUGAUUUUGAAUCAAGGAAUCAUCGUGAGGAAUUAAAUAUACACAUACACUACACCAACAUAAGCAACAACAUUAUUUCUUAUGUCUCUAACCUUUGUUGCUUAGAGUUAGAUAUGCAUGACACUACAUUUUAUCUCACUAAGUCCAUGGAGUUAACCAAUUAAAUCAAGAUGUAGACAAACAGACAAGCAAUAGCUCACACGUGAAGUCAAGCGGCCAGACUACUUAGACUUAUCUAUCAGAAACCAUAUUCCCACGACCAAGCUUCAGAACUAACUUACAUCAAACUUCCUCAUCGUAGCUUCAACUUGAAUAGUUCUAACCUAUUGAGCUCUCAAUUUAUCCUCUUGAAUAAACUGUUUUAAGUUUCAACUCUUUACAUCCCAUGAAAUUUAUACUCUGAAGCUAUUGGCAACCUCUUGUCAAAUUGUUGCUCCUUCCGAAGAACUUAUGUUCUUAUACCACCUGGUCUCACACCACUUAACCUUGCCUUAAGCUUUUGUUCUUCUUCUCUGAAGAAACAUAUGCUCUGAUACCACCUGUCACGCCUCGUCCCAAAAAGUUGUUGCUCUUAUGCUCCGAUAUACCUUUAUCGCGUACUUCUCGCGAGGCAACGCAUUAAACGUCUAGUAAGAGAAAUAACUUAUCUCUUUUUGCACAUCUUAAACGUCAACUUCCUUUAAAUGAGGAAGCGGGAUGCAACAAAAUAAGCCUUUUAUUAAUUAUCAAAUUAUGUGAUAGACAGAGAUAAUACAGCGGAAUAAGUACAAAACUUCACUUUAUUAACUUAACACUUUUAUAGAAUGCACUUUAGACUUUUCCUUACAACAAACUAAACUUGACAUAAUGUUAGACCCUUCUUGCCUAACACAACUUUUCUGACUGCAACACCUAGCUUACUGACCUCAUCGUGUAGCAAUGCACACCUUACGUCUUUCUUGCUACCCAAUGCUUCUCCUUAAGGCUGGGUGCUUCGAGGGUGAAGACUCCACUUCUUCCAUUACCUCAGAUGUACAAUGACCCAUCCAAAGAACAAUGCUUAGGGCUUCCUUUCCUUGACUAAAUCCUUUGGUUCUCUCACCUCCUGGGGUAGUCCUUACCAACCGUGGUGUGAUACUCGUCUUUCCCCAAAAUGGAGCCUUUUGCGUUAAGAAGCAAUCCGCUUUCCAACCAGCUCCUUAGACGCAAGGUAAGAUGACACGGCCCUUAUGCCGCAUAAAUCCACACAAGUCAUCAUAGAUAGUAAAUAAAAUCCAUUAACCUUUAUUAAUAAAAUGUUACUAUUAUUAUUUCAAUAAGUGUUAUUGUUUUUAUUAUUAGUUUUGUCUUAAUAACCUAAAUCCAAUAACCUAACACCCUAAUCUGCUUGAUGAUUCUUGAACAAGAUGUAGAGACAUACAGGGAUCAAUAUUCGAGAUAAGCUUAAAGGGUCUAUAGUAUAGGAAUAAGGUUGGAUACCUUAUCCUAGUAACACUAUGGAUAAGGCUCACUUUGUACUUGAUACAAAUGCAAUGAUCCAACGUGUUCGCGUAGGUGACAUGCGAGUGAGGGUAUCCUAUGCAAUGAGUUUGCAUCAAACUAUACCAUGAAAUAGUAACCAGUAGAUGUAACUCUGUCAACGAAUUGAGUUUCUAUUUCAUUAGGAUGACCUAGGUAACUUAGUCUUAAUCGUGAGUGUAUUAUCAACUCCUGUUUGUAAGAGAUUGCCCUUUGAUUUGUACGGAUGAUAGUGGCUAGAUUGCCGACUUAAUAUCCUUAUCAUUUUUAGGAUAAGACCGAGUGGAAAGCUGAAAACAUAAUCCCACAAGAUGGAAUUGACUCCUCCUCAACUUUAGGGUAAGUGGAUGAGUUGUCCCUUAAAUGGUAUCUUCGGGACUU
This 27113-nucleotide long non-coding RNA is filed under the name Cucumis sativus (cucumber). RNAcentral's name for it is "long non-coding RNA (CSAT_LNC002759)". The record is from RNAcentral. Lineage: Eukaryota; Viridiplantae; Streptophyta; Magnoliopsida; Cucurbitales; Cucurbitaceae.